This is a long non-coding RNA of Ostrinia furnacalis (Asian corn borer), 696 nucleotides long. RefSeq lists it as uncharacterized. NCBI's taxonomy places the organism in Eukaryota, Metazoa, Arthropoda, Insecta, Lepidoptera, Crambidae. The record is from RefSeq and is a predicted model, not a curated record. The transcript is spliced from 2 exons.
GCCCAACCCCGUGUAUUAUGCCAUGAACGUCUGACGCGGGGACUAGGUGAAAAUCGUGGUGGGCCCCACAGGUGAGGUCCGUAUCAGCGUACAGCCAAACGCCACACCGAGCGCCGAUUCUUCCAAAAAAGAACCCUAAUUCCGUGCCCGUUUCUCGCUCCAGAAUCAAACUUCCCUAACCAGAUACAAGCUUCUCUCUUCCACUUUACCUACUCACACUGAUGAUUGAUGAUGAUUUAGUUAAGUAUUAACUUAAGUAUAAUUAACAGGGCGCAAUAAGAUGGCCAUUUCGGUUCAAUAUAAAUUACACUUCAACACAGCUAUUAUAAAUUGAAUAAGCUUAAAUAGUAAUAAUUUCAAAUGUUGACUUCCAAAGAUUUUCCAUUGUAGUUGAAUUGCAUGCAUUGUUUCUCACUUAAUGUUAUGGUUAUAAUAUUCUUAAUUCAUGUUACGGUAAUAUAAAAAAAUAGAUUAAUAAGUGUUAUCAAAACCCAAUGCAGAUUUAUGUGUGUUAAUUAACACCAAAGUGCUCAUACCAAAUACGGAUAAAAUUCUAGUCAAACAAGCCAAGAGUCUAUUUCCCUAUCACGAAGUAGAUAAAGAAUAAAAUGUGCAGUCUGUAAGCAUACAAACUAAGGUUUCAAUCACACAAAUUGAACUUAAAGACAAGUUAAUUAAUAAAUGUUGAAAUGGCAA